CGUGAGUAACCUGCCCUUGACUCUGGGAUAAGCCUGGGAAACUGGGUCUAAUACCGGAUAUGACUCCUCAUCGCAUGGUGGGGGGUGGAAAGCUUUUGUGGUUUUGGAUGGACUCGCGGCCUAUCAGCUUGUUGGUGGGGUAAUGGCCUACCAAGGCGACGACGGGUAGCCGGCCUGAGAGGGUGACCGGCCACACUGGGACUGAGACACGGCCCAGACUCCUACGGGAGGCAGCAGUGGGGAAUAUUGCACAAUGGGCGCAAGCCUGAUGCAGCGACGCCGCGUGAGGGAUGACGGCCUUCGGGUUGUAAACCUCUUUCAGUAGGGAAGAAGCGAAAGUGACGGUACUGCAGAAGAAGCGCCGGCUAACUACGUGCCAGCAGCCGCGGUAAUACGUAGGGCGCAAGCGUUAUCCGGAAUUAUUGGGCGUAAAGAGCUCGUAGGCGGUUUGUCGCGUCUGCUGUGAAAGACCGGGGCUCAACUCCGGUUCUGCAGUGGGUACGGGCAGACUAGAGUGCAGUAGGGGAGACUGGAAUUCCUGGUGUAGCGGUGAAAUGCGCAGAUAUCAGGAGGAACACCGAUGGCGAAGGCAGGUCUCUGGGCUGUAACUGACGCUGAGGAGCGAAAGCAUGGGGAGCGAACAGGAUUAGAUACCCUGGUAGUCCAUGCCGUAAACGUUGGGCACUAGGUGUGGGGGACAUUCCACGUUUUCCGCGCCGUAGCUAACGCAUUAAGUGCCCCGCCUGGGGAGUACGGCCGCAAGGCUAAAACUCAAAGGAAUUGACGGGGGCCCGCACAAGCGGCGGAGCAUGCGGAUUAAUUCGAUGCAACGCGAAGAACCUUACCAAGGCUUGACAUGAACCGGAAAGACCUGGAAACAGGUGCCCCGCUUGCGGUCGGUUUACAGGUGGUGCAUGGUUGUCGUCAGCUCGUGUCGUGAGAUGUUGGGUUAAGUCCCGCAACGAGCGCAACCCUCGUUCUAUGUUGCCAGCGGUUCGGCCGGGGACUCAUAGGAGACUGCCGGGGUCAACUCGGAGGAAGGUGGGGACGACGUCAAAUCAUCAUGCCCCUUAUGUCUUGGGCUUCACGCAUGCUACAAUGGCCGGUACAAAGGGUUGCGAUACUGUGAGGUGGAGCUAAUCC
RNAcentral lists this ribosomal RNA (1143 nucleotides) under uncultured bacterium. RNAcentral describes it as "bacterial SSU rRNA". It matches the Rfam family "Bacterial small subunit ribosomal RNA", at positions 116 to 1274 of the family's 1533-position model. The record is from RNAcentral.